RNAcentral lists this long non-coding RNA (252 nucleotides) under Musa acuminata (dwarf banana). Its description in RNAcentral is "long non-coding RNA (MACU_LNC011302)". Lineage: Eukaryota; Viridiplantae; Streptophyta; Magnoliopsida; Zingiberales; Musaceae. The record is from RNAcentral.
CCACUAUUAGAAAACAGGGUAUGACUUAUGCAAUAACAUGGGGCUGGCUAUAACGCUUUCUUUUUCUCAAAAACUGCUAGUCCAAUAUUGACUCAUUCUAUUCCCAGUCUCUGGUACAUUAAAUCUAAGUUUGUACACAUGAUAAACAAAGUUCACUUACAGUUCAUUGAUACAUCGUCUUCGGUCAGAGUCAAGUAUCCUGAUUAUCCUCAUGACAUUGAUGUGAAAAAGCAUAUGAAAAGUUGCCAAGUA